CCCCCGACUUAAGCCUAACUAUGUGAAGCUUCUAAAUAUAAAAAUUUAAAAUAAGUAAAAAAAAUUAUUAAUACUGCUUGACUUACCUACUAUGAUGGCUGUGAAAAUAAACUCAGCUGAUUGUGUAGAUGCAAGUCCUAGAGAAUCUCAACAACCAUCUCGCAGACGGCAUCCUAGAAGCUCUGAGGUCGCUGGCAAAAAAGUAUUUGCACAACC
This 216-nucleotide long non-coding RNA is filed under the name Elaeis guineensis (African oil palm). RNAcentral's name for it is "long non-coding RNA (EGUI_LNC044526)". Lineage: Eukaryota; Viridiplantae; Streptophyta; Magnoliopsida; Arecales; Arecaceae. The record is from RNAcentral.